Molecule: non-coding RNA, 101 nt
Organism: Acanthosepion pharaonis
Lineage: Eukaryota; Metazoa; Mollusca; Cephalopoda; Sepiida; Sepiidae
Source: the annotation of a GenBank genome assembly
ACAUUGUAGCACCAGUUCCUGUAUGAUCACUGAAGUUAAGCAACACCAGGCCUGCUCAGUAUAUAGAAGAGUGACCACUUGGGAAUAACAGUUGCUGUAAG